Molecule: transfer RNA, 80 nt
Filed under: Felis catus (domestic cat)
Lineage: Eukaryota; Metazoa; Chordata; Mammalia; Carnivora; Felidae
Rfam family: tRNA
About the family: Transfer RNA (tRNA) molecules are approximately 80 nucleotides in length. Their secondary structure includes four short double-helical elements and three loops (D, anti-codon, and T loops).
Source: Rfam by way of RNAcentral
ACGUGGGUGGCUCAGUCGGUUGAGCAUCUGACUUCGGCUCAGGUCAUGGUCUCACGGUUUGUGAGUUCGAGUCCCGCGUC